RNAcentral lists this ribosomal RNA (794 nucleotides) under Acinetobacter baylyi. RNAcentral's name for it is "bacterial SSU rRNA". It matches the Rfam family "Bacterial small subunit ribosomal RNA", at positions 529 to 1320 of the family's 1533-position model. Lineage: Bacteria; Pseudomonadati; Pseudomonadota; Gammaproteobacteria; Moraxellales; Moraxellaceae. The record is from RNAcentral.
GGGGUGCAAGCGUUAAUCGGAAUUUACUGGGCGUAAAGCGCGCGUAGGCGGUCUAAUUAAGUCAGAAUGUGAAAUCCCCGGGCUCAACUUGGGAACUGCAUUCGAUACUGGCUGGCUAGAGUGUGGGAGAGGAGGGUAGAAUUCCAGGUGUAGCGGUGAAAUGCGUAGAGAUCUGGAGGAAUACCGAUGGCGAAGGCAGCCCUCUGGCCUAACACUGACGCUCAGGUGCGAAAGCAUGGGGAGCAAACAGGAUUAGAUACCCUGGUAGUCCAUGCCGUAAACGAUGUCUACUAGCCGGUGGGGCCUUUGAGGCGUUAGUUGCGCAGCUAACGCGAUAAGUAGACCGCCUGGGGAGUACGGUCGCAAGACUAAAACUCAAAUGAAUUGACGGGGGCCCGCACAAGCGGUGGAGCAUGUGGUUUAAUUCGAUGCAACGCGAAGAACCUUACCUGGCCUUGACAUAGUAGAAACUUUCCAGAGAUGGAUUGGUGCCUUCGGGAAUUUACAUACAGGUGCUGCAUGGCUGUCGUCAGCUCGUGUUGUGAGAUGUUGGGUUAAGUCCCGCAACGAGCGCAACCCUUUUCCUUACUUGCCAGCAUUUCGGAUGGGAACUUUAAGGAUACUGCCAGUGACAAACUGGAGGAAGGCGGGGACGACGUCAAGUCAUCAUGGCCCUUACGGCCAGGGCUACACACGUGCUACAAUGGUCGGUACAAAGGGAAGCUACCUAGCGAUAGCAAGCUAAUCUCAAAAAGCCGAUCGUAGUCCGGAUUGGAGUCUGCAACUCGACUCCA